GGCUCAGGAUGAACGCUAGCUACAGGCUUAACACAUGCAAGUCGAGGGGCAGCAUGAACUUAGCUUGCUAAGUUUGAUGGCGACCGGCGCACGGGUGAGUAACACGUAUCCAACCUUCCGUUUACUCAGGGAUAGCCUUUCGAAAGAAAGAUUAAUACCUGAUAGUAUGGUGAGAUUGCAUGAUAGCACCAUUAAAGAUUUAUUGGUAAACGAUGGGGAUGCGUUCCAUUAGGUAGUAGGCGGGGUAACGGCCCACCUAGUCUUCGAUGGAUAGGGGUUCUGAGAGGAAGGUCCCCCACAUUGGAACUGAGACACGGUCCAAACUCCUACGGGAGGCAGCAGUGGGGAAUAUUGGUCAAUGGGCGAGAGCCUGAACCAGCCAAGUAGCGUGCAGGAUGACGGCCCUAUGGGUUGUAAACUGCUUUUAUAAGGGAAUAAAGUGAGUCUCGUGAGACUUUUUGCAUGUACCUUAUGAAUAAGGACCGGCUAAUUCCGUG
Molecule: ribosomal RNA, 497 nt
Filed under: uncultured bacterium
Lineage: Bacteria
Description: bacterial SSU rRNA
Rfam family: Bacterial small subunit ribosomal RNA
Source: RNAcentral